GUGCUGCUGUGUUCUCAACUCUGGAUGAUGGAAGAAUAGUAAGAGGUCUUGCUGGGGUUCCAAAGGAAGGUCCUGUUUUAUUAGUUGGUUACCACAUGUUGAUGGGAUUUGAACUUCAGCCCCUCUCGGAAGCAUUCUUGAGGGAGAACAUUGUUCUGCGUGGUCUAGCACAUCCAUCACUCUUUAAUGGGACGAUAGAAAAUUCAUCUAGUGAAUUUUCUCAACUAGAUUGGUAUAAAGUGUUGGGCG
This 249-nucleotide unclassified non-coding RNA is filed under the name Hevea brasiliensis (rubber tree). Lineage: Eukaryota; Viridiplantae; Streptophyta; Magnoliopsida; Malpighiales; Euphorbiaceae. The record is from RNAcentral.